AAUAGAUACCCUGGUAGUCCACGCCGUAAACGAUGUCGACUUGGAGGUUGUGCCCUUGAGGCGUGGCUUCCGGAGCUAACGCGUUAAGUCGACCGCCUGGGGAGUACGGCCGCAAGGUUAAAACUCAAAUGAAUUGACGGGGGCCCGCACAAGCGGUGGAGCAUGUGGUUUAAUUCGAUGCAACGCGAAGAACCUUACCUACUCUUGACAUCCAGAGAACUUGGCAGAGAUGCCUUGGUGCCUUCGGGAACUCUGAGACAGGUGCUGCAUGGCUGUCGUCAGCUCGUGUUGUGAAAUGUUGGGUUAAGUCCCGCAACGAGCGCAACCCUUAUCCUUUGUUGCCAGCGGUCCGGCCGGGAACUCAAAGGAGACUGCCAGUGAUAAACUGGAGGAAGGUGGGGAUGACGUCAAGUCAUCAUGGCCCUUACGAGUAGGGCUACACACGUGCUACAAUGGCGCAUACAAAGAGAAGCGACCUCGCGAGAGCAAGCGGACCUCAUAAAGUGCGUCGUAGUCCGGA
This 520-nucleotide ribosomal RNA is filed under the name uncultured bacterium. RNAcentral's name for it is "bacterial SSU rRNA". It matches the Rfam family "Bacterial small subunit ribosomal RNA", at positions 777 to 1297 of the family's 1533-position model. The record is from RNAcentral.